Molecule: ribosomal RNA, 474 nt
Filed under: uncultured bacterium
Lineage: Bacteria
Description: bacterial SSU rRNA
Rfam family: Bacterial small subunit ribosomal RNA
Source: RNAcentral
AUUGAACGCUGGCGGCAGGCCUAACACAUGCAAGUCGAGCGGUAACAGGAAAUAGCUUGCUAUUUUGCUGACGAGCGGCGGACGGGUGAGUAACGCGUAGGAAUUUGCCCAGUAGUGGGGGAUAGCCCGGAGAAAUUCGGAUUAAUACCGCAUACGCCCUAAGGGGGAAAGCAGGGGAUCUUCGGACCUUGCGCUAUUGGAUAAGCCUGCGUGAGAUUAGCUAGUUGGUGAGGUAAGGGCUCACCAAGGCGACGAUCUCUAGCUGGUCUGAGAGGAUGAUCAGCCACACUGGAACUGAGACACGGUCCAGACUCCUACGGGAGGCAGCAGUGGGGAAUAUUGCACAAUGGGCGAAAGCCUGAUGCAGCCAUGCCGCGUGUGUGAAGAAGGCUCUAGGGUUGUAAAGCACUUUCAGUAGGGAGGAAAGUCGAUAGUUAAUACCUAUCGGCCGUGACGUUACCUACAGAAGAAGCA